GGCCAGGUAGCUCAGUUGGUUAAAGCAUUGUUCUGAUACACCAAAGUCGUGGGUUCGAUCCCCGGUCAGGGCA
RNAcentral lists this transfer RNA (73 nucleotides) under Myotis brandtii (Brandt's bat). It matches the Rfam family "tRNA". From Rfam's summary of the family: Transfer RNA (tRNA) molecules are approximately 80 nucleotides in length. Their secondary structure includes four short double-helical elements and three loops (D, anti-codon, and T loops). The record is from Rfam by way of RNAcentral. Lineage: Eukaryota; Metazoa; Chordata; Mammalia; Chiroptera; Vespertilionidae.